RNAcentral lists this RNase P RNA (302 nucleotides) under Methanobacteriota archaeon. RNAcentral's name for it is "Euryarchaeota archaeon RNase P RNA component". It matches the Rfam family "Archaeal RNase P". Rfam says of the family: Ribonuclease P (RNase P) is a ubiquitous endoribonuclease, found in archaea, bacteria and eukarya as well as chloroplasts and mitochondria. Its best characterised activity is the generation of mature 5'-ends of tRNAs by cleaving the 5'-leader elements of precursor-tRNAs. RNAcentral also lists the same sequence under 1 other name. Lineage: Archaea; Methanobacteriati; Methanobacteriota. The record is from RNAcentral.
AGGCGUAGGAGGGCUACUGACAGAGUUCGACUCUGAGGAAAGUCCCCUCUCCAAAGUGCAAGCGGGCGACAUAAGUCGUAAGCCAGAGAUGGUUUGGUAGUGCAGCAGAAACGAACGACAAGGGGUGUGUACGAUGAAUCCGAAAGGACGAGAUUGCCCUAUUGUUGCUGGAACGAGCACCCACGCUGGAGCAAGUCUAAACAGUCCUGUUGACGCGGCACGCCGAGGGACGGGUAAGAUGCUAAGUUGAAUGUAGCUAACCGUGAAAGCGGGUAACAGAAAGGGGCUUACUCCCUGCACCU